RNAcentral lists this long non-coding RNA (330 nucleotides) under Homo sapiens (human). Its description in RNAcentral is "non-protein coding lnc-STIM2-4:2". Lineage: Eukaryota; Metazoa; Chordata; Mammalia; Primates; Hominidae. The record is from RNAcentral.
GGGGCUGCCAGGUUUGCCUGAUUCUAGAGCUCAAUGCUGCCCAUCAGGUGUUUGAAGUCAUGAUUUGGUGAAAAUGGGACAGUGAAGACGUUCUGAAAAAAAAAAAAGGCAUAUGAUGAGGUUUGGACAUUGAGAGGUAUAGGCUGGCUGUAGGAGUCGGGUUUAUGCUGUGAUGCACAGUGACACGUACCUCUCUCUGUUCAGCAAGGUUCAUUCCGGCUAUUCAUUUAACAGCUGGAAAGUUCUAUAUCUGUGGCAAAGAUGAUCUGCGGUGGAGGGUUUAUUCCUGGCCCCUGGCCUUCCUGGCCUUGGUCUUUUGAGUGCUUGCCG